UUAGGUUAAGUUAGGAAGGGCGCAUGGUGGAUGCCUUGGUACUAGGAGCCGAUGAAGGACGGGACUAACACCGAUAUGCCUCGGGGAGCUGUAAGUAAGCUUUGAUCCGGGGAUUUCCGAAUGGGGCAACCCAAUAGUUUUAAUCGACUAUUAUCCGCAUCUGAAUUCAUAGGAUGUGUGAAGGUAAACGUGGGGAACUGAAACAUCUCAGUACCCACAGGAACAGAAAGAAAAUUCGAUUCCCUGAGUAGCGGCGAGCGAAACGGGAACAGCCCAAACCAAGAAGCUUGCUUCUUGGGGUUGUAGGACUGAACAUUUGAGUUACCAAAGAGCUUGAUAGCUGAAGGGCCUGGGAAGGCCAGCCAGAGAGGGUGACAGCCCCGUAAGUUAAAUCAAACUCCCUCAGUUCAGGAUCCUGAGUACGGCGGAGCACGUGAAAUUCCGUCGGAAUCCGGGAGGACCAUCUCCCAAGGCUAAAUACUACCUAGUGACCGAUAGUGAACCAGUACCGUGAGGGAAAGGUGAAAAGCACCCCGGAAGGGGAGUGAAAUAGUUCUUGAAACCAUGUGCCUACAAGAAGUCAGAGCCCGUUAAUGGGUGAUGGCGUGCCUUUUGUAGAAUGAACCGGCGAGUUACGUUCGUAUGCCAGGUUAAGUUGAAGAGACGGAGCCGAAGCGAAAGCGAGUCUGAAGAGGGCGAAUUAGUAUGCGGAUGUAGACCCGAAACCAAGUGACCUACCCAUGUCCAGGUUGAAGGUGCGGUAAAACGCACUGGAGGACCGAACUCGUGUACGUUGAAAAGUGCUGAGAUGAGGUGUGGGUAGCGGUGAAAUUCCAAACGAACUUGGAGAUAGCUGGUUCUCUCCGAAAUAGCUUUAGGGCUAGCCUCGGAAUUAGGAUCGUGGAGGUAGAGCCACUGUUUGGACUAGGGGCCCGUCAUGGGUUACCGAAUUCAGAUAAACUCCGAAUGCCAUCGAUUUAUGUCCGGGAGUCAGACGGUGAGUGAUAAGAUCCAUCGUCGAAAGGGGAACAGCCCAGACCACCAGUUAAGGUCCCUAAAUAUAUGUUAAGUGGAAAAGGAUGUGGAGUUGCAUAGACAACUAGGAUGUUGGCUCAGAAGCAGCCACCAUUUAAAGAGUGCGUAAUAGCUCACUAGUCGAGUGAUCCUGCGCCGAAAAUGUACCGGGGCUUAAACAUAUUACCGAGACUGUGGAUGCCACCAUUAGGUGGCGUGAUAGGAGAGCGUUCUAAGGGCGACGAAGGCAGACCGUGAGGACUGUUGGAGCGCUUAGAAGUGAGAAUGCCGGUAUGAGUAGCGAAAGAUAGGUGAGAAUCCUAUCCACCGUAUGACUAAGGUUUCCUGGGGAAGGCUCGUCCUCCCAGGGUUAGUCGGGACCUAAGCCGAGGCCGAGAGGCGUAGGCGAUGGAUAACAGGUUGAGAUUCCUGUACUAGUUAAACUUGUUUGAACAAUGGAGGGACGCAGGAGGCUAAGGAAUGCACCCGAUUGGAAGUGGGUGUCCAAGCCGUAAGUCUGAAGUCGAGUCAAAUGCUUGAUUUCUUAAGGACAAGCGGUGAUGGGGAGUGAAAUUUAAGUAACGAAGUUCCUGACGUCACGCUGCCGAGAAAAGCUUCUAGUUAGAGUUUAACUACCCGUACCGCAAACCGACACAGGUAGUCGAGGAGAGUAUCCUAAGGUGAGCGAGAGAACUCUCGUUAAGGAACUCGGCAAAAUGACCCCGUAACUUCGGGAGAAGGGGUGCUGAUCGCAAGAUCAGCCGCAGUGAAAAGGCCCAGGCGACUGUUUAUCAAAAACACAGGUUUCUGCAAAAUCGUAAGAUGACGUAUAGGGGCUGACGCCUGCCCGGUGCUGGAAGGUUAAGGGGAUGAGUUAGCGUAAGCGAAGCUUUGAACUGAAGCCCCAGUAAACGGCGGCCGUAACUAUAACGGUCCUAAGGUAGCGAAAUUCCUUGUCGGGUAAGUUCCGACCCGCACGAAAGGCGUAACGA
RNAcentral lists this ribosomal RNA (2006 nucleotides) under Limosilactobacillus reuteri. RNAcentral's name for it is "bacterial LSU rRNA". It matches the Rfam family "Bacterial large subunit ribosomal RNA", at positions 1 to 2007 of the family's 2925-position model. The record is from RNAcentral. Lineage: Bacteria; Bacillati; Bacillota; Bacilli; Lactobacillales; Lactobacillaceae.